Molecule: ribosomal RNA, 586 nt
Filed under: uncultured bacterium
Lineage: Bacteria
Description: partial 16S ribosomal RNA
Rfam family: Bacterial small subunit ribosomal RNA
Source: RNAcentral
UGGGGAAUAUUGGACAAUGGGCGCAAGCCUGAUCCAGCCAUACCGCGUGGGUGAAGAAGGCCUUCGGGUUGUAAAGCCCUUUUGUUGGGAAAGAAAAGCAUUCGGUUAAUACCCGAUUGUUCUGACGGUACCCAAAGAAUAAGCACCGGCUAACUUCGUGCCAGCAGCCGCGGUAAUACGAAGGGUGCAAGCGUUACUCGGAAUUACUGGGCGUAAAGCGUGCGUAGGUGGUUGUUUAAGUCUGUCGUGAAAGCCCUGGGCUCAACCUGGGAAUUGCGAUGGAAACUGGGCGACUAGAGUGUGGCAGAGGGUAGUGGAAUUCCUGGUGUAGCAGUGAAAUGCGUAGAGAUCAGGAGGAACAUCCGUGGCGAAGGCGACUGCCUGGGCCAACACUGACACUGAGGCACGAAAGCGUGGGGAGCAAACAGGAUUAGAUACCCUGGUAGUCCACGCCCUAAACGAUGCGAACUGGAUGUUGGGUGCAAUUUGGCACGCAGUAUCGAAGCUAACGCGUUAAGUUCGCCGCCUGGGGAGUACGGUCGCAAGACUGAAACUCAAAGGAAUUGACGGGGUCAUAGCUGUUUCC